CAGGCGAAUUUAAAUGUUCGAGAAUUGACUAUGUUUUGUAUAUUUACAUUUAGAGUUUCUGGGCAAAGGUUUUUUGUUCAGGUUGAUUUGUCUUGAUACUUUUAAUGUAUGAAAGCUCAGGGAAGUUUUUGUUGAAAAUUAAUUUGUACCUUUUAUUGUUACUAAUUUUAACACCAAACUUCUGUUUCAAGUUAUAAACACAAUUUUUUAAUGCUAAAUCAUAUUACAUCUGCUUCGUUCUCGUAGAAAAAAAAUGGUUAAAAAUAAAAAAAAAACAAAUAAAAGUUCACCACGUAACGUAGCACCGCUUUUUGGGAUAAUUUAGCUUCACUUUAUUCUUCAAACACCUUAAACAUGUACGUUUACAAAUCGCUUAAACGUAGCCCCGUUUCACGCAUGUAGGUGUCUUUGAACAUCACCGAUACUCAAUAAAAAGGGUGCGCGAAAGCAAAGAAAAAAGAGGGAAGGUGUCGUUCCAUAUUAUCGAUUUAGCACAUGAUAGCGUUUUAUUGACUUUCUCUCUGUUGCUAUCGUUUACGUGCCGUGUAGUUUCGCGAUAGGCACGUACUGUUGUUGUGUAUCGCAUCUGGGAAGGAUUGCGUGCCCUGUCAUCAAGGUACUUCAAAGUAACGGAUCUAUGCUUUGUUCGUCACGUGUCUGAAUCAAGGGCUGAUAGGUGUGUAUCUAUGAUAGACGCGAAGAUGGUUGUGAUUGUGUCGUUCAGGUUUGAAGCAGUUUAUUUCCGGUGUUUGGUGAGAGAUACACUCAAUGGUGCGAAUCUUUUGAUUGCCCAAGAUCUCUAAUGGUGUGCGGAAAAUGGGUCGAUCGGACAGCUGCUAGAGCACGGGGGGAACCCAUACUGUGCAUUUGUUCCUAACGUAACCUGAUCACUCUACGGUACGAAACCCAGCAAUACAUCGUCCGAUUAUUUAUUGACUCAAUAAGGAUUUUAUUUGAUCUGAAUGGAUGAAAGUUCAGCAGGAAUCAACUGACAUAGCGGUCGCCGUUGGAAAGCUGCUCAACAACUAUGCUCAUCCGUACGAACCACCCAGUAAACUAUCCGUGAUCGUCAGCACAUUAUGAAACACGGUUCUUCCAACGAGAACGUUUCGUUUGAGCGUGCAGAGUACGGUAAGCUACGAGUAAAGUUGAAAAGAAAAACUGACACUUCCAGCAAACAUGCACUUCAAUUCGAAUGCCCCAGAUUGAGCACGUACAAAUAAUAAAUCACUGCUUAUUUGCUAAACGCAUUUUUGGGGGAUUUUGGAAAUCGUUUACGACGUUCGCUAGAGUGUUUUCAGACCGUUUGACCGAACACUUCUGAUCGGGAAGUACAUCAUUCCCGCUCUUGAAAUCGUUCCACACGGAAAUCAAUCGUUCAGAAACCACCAAACGUCACGAUAAACGUAAUUGCGUUCCUUUAGAAAAGUGUACUUCUUUUGACAAACUCGAGAUAAAUCGUCUUUUUUUUUAGUGGUCCAGAGGAAAACUGAACUUG
Anopheles stephensi (Asian malaria mosquito) is the source of this 1498-nucleotide long non-coding RNA. RefSeq lists it as uncharacterized. NCBI's taxonomy places the organism in Eukaryota, Metazoa, Arthropoda, Insecta, Diptera, Culicidae. The record is from RefSeq and is a predicted model, not a curated record. The transcript is spliced from 3 exons.